Cephus cinctus (wheat stem sawfly) is the source of this 2741-nucleotide RNA transcript. RefSeq lists it as uncharacterized. The record is from RefSeq and is a predicted model, not a curated record. Lineage: Eukaryota; Metazoa; Arthropoda; Insecta; Hymenoptera; Cephidae. The transcript is spliced from 3 exons.
AACAACAAACAAUAGGAUUAUAAAUAUCAGAAGAGGAUCAGUGCUAAAAGAAAUAAUACAAUUAUAAAAAUAAUUUAGAAAAUCUUAUGAAAUUGCAGAAAAAUAAUUUUCAUAUUAAAUUCAUCCAAUCAUAGUCUCUGGAUAUCAUGGAAACAAUUAUAUUUCGACCGGAAACGUAUAAAAGGUCCUUCAUUGCGGAAGGGCGGUCGUUGCGAUUCUCUAGAGAAACAACUUCCGACGGAUACUAAAUCUGAAUAUAAAAUUUCCAAUGCCAAGUCACCGUUCCAAAAGUGCAAUCCGACUUCAAUAUUAAUAUCGAAUAAGAGAAGCUUGUCAGUGCCGCGGAGUUACGUUUUACGAAUUUGAAAUAUUCACUGAACCGAAUAAAGAAAGCACGAUGGUAUUUACAAAUAGCGCGAGGCAUAUCCCUGUCCACGUUAGUUCGUUUUCCGUUUUUUGUCAGAAAAAAGCAUAGUCGAACGGAUAUAAGAAGAGCAAUAAGAAAAAGAGAGAAACAGUAUGGCUAAUACCGCCUCUCAUUUUUCAGGGAGAGAUAACGCUUUAAAACGAGCAAUACGAAAAAAAUAAUACACUGUACGUUAUGGUUAUUUACAUGGAAUAAUACAGUACGUUCAUGCAUGCGUGCAUAGGAGUGAGUAGUUAGCAAAUAACAAAUGUGAAUCAAUAUUUAAAAUGCAGAGUUUCUCAACGUAGAAAUAUGAUUAAUCGUUAUCAUUAAGAGGGAUGUGCACAGAGGCAUAGGAUUGAUCUAUGAAGCGAUUAACUGCCAUGGACGAGUCUAGUGCUUCAGUCGCCCGAUCCUUUAAGCGUAGAUGCCAUUUUGCUAAUCCUAUUAUUCGUCACGAGAAAAUGCGCGUCCAUAACAAUGCAUUGGCCAAGUGCAAUAUCCAAUAAAAGUGUUCAAUCCUUGAGAAUAGUGCAUCGCUAUCGUAUACUCCCUGGGUGCCACUCUGGGUGGAGAAUGCUAGAGAGUAAGAAUACCGGAGGCCAUUCAUAUCGAGAAAUUUCAUCAAGCAAUUCAGAGUAGCCUUGCGAAAAUCCCUGUACUUCGAGGAGUCCGUAGUAAUGCAACUGGGAGUUCGCGUCGGUGAAUGGUGUCACGUAUAGUCAGACAUAACCUAUAACCAAGCGGACGGCAAUAGGUAGUGGCUAGGUAGGAUGUCGGUAACGUAGAACAGCUACUCGCCGUUACCGACGAAAACAUCCAAACACACUCGACGGAUCUAAGGAUGGUCGCUCGCGAAAAUUGCGUACGACAGUUUGCCUCGCGCAAACUUGCCCGGCAAUGUUUCUAUGCUAAUGGGAGAGAGUGGGAUAACCGUUUGGGAGCUGAGGAAACGCAGCGUUCAUUCGGGAGCCCAGCCAAACGUCUGCAGACCACGUCCCAGCUUCUAAGUGUGUGCAUUCGUACGCGGCUACGUACCCGGAUGUCAAGGAAAAGCGGGAAAAUUGCUCUGAAAAGGGAUUGCGCCACCUUAUAGAAGUUCCUCUGGACAGGAUACGAACAUCCUCGCAGAAACGUUGGAGCUAGAUCUUCCCAAGGUAAAUAAGGGCUGCGAAAUAGAAAGGGUGAAAUAUAUAGGAAAUAAAGGAUGGAUAUAUCCAGGAACAAGAGGAAAGAAAAGGUUAAAGACAAUUCGACAUGGUAAACAAUCUCCUUACAGUCUUAGCACUCAUUCUACGUGCACACAUACCAACGUCAUUGACAAUUCUUGUGACCAUUCCAUUGAAGAGGAAUGGAAAUUUUCCUGCUCGUACAGUGCAGCUCAUAGAGUAAGGAUGGAGGACUAACGGUUGUUAGUCCUAUAGAGUUUUGUUAUAAGGACUGUAAAACUCUGGCCAACGAACUUGGAAAAUUGUCCCAGGAUAAGGUUUACGUUUGUUCCACAUUGAAAUUUCACGAGCUUCCAUCUCCCCCUUAGCCCAUUCGACUGAAUAGGGGAUGAGUCAAAGAAUCAGGCACGAAGGUUAUCGUUAAAAAGUAUAUACGCUGUUCCUUAAUCUGCUAAGAGCAGAUUACGGCACUUAAACUAUAUAAGCGGAGGAACGAGCGCUGCGGCCAAGGUGUACGUAAGAAAGCUUAGGAAUUAAUUUCCCGUAACAACGGCUGAUAACGUUAAUAGAACGACGUUAUCUGGCCGGCUAUCGCUUAUAUUUCGUUAUAACGCGACCUUUACGCUAUAGGGAUGUAUCAAGAUAUAUCGAGACGUCCGUACAGGUUUGUAUCUCGGGUACAGUUCCCUUCGUAAGUAAGGUAAGUAACGAUCACGUGUACCAAACUGGUGAACUGAAGCUCGUACGGUGCCCCUUAAGACCCGUUCUAAACUUCUGCCAUUAAGUUUUAUGACACUGAGAAUACGUAUGGGUACGUGAAACUCAUUACAGACGUGUAUACAGAUAGGUACCAUAUACCUGCUGUUGUAUUAGAUAUGUGUAUACUAUAUAUAUGCAUAUAUACAACUGGCCAUCGUGCUACAUAAUAACCGUCAAUAGCGACCAGUGAGAAGCUAGAAUUACAAAAGUAAUAAAGUUGGCGAAAUAGUUCACGCAAUAGAUCCAGAGGUCACGCCAUGACAUUUCUACUAUUAGAUAUCACCCGAAUCGACUUUACCUGCAUAUUUCCGUAAUAUUCUCUUCUCUCAACUAUUAAUCCACUACGUGAUUUGAAUCUUCUUUUUCAGAAUUGCCACCUAUGUCCACUGCGAACUCCUCGUGUACUA